UUGAUCAGCAUCGGACCACUCAGACGUAGCAAGAUGAUCUCGCAGGCUCAGCUUAUCUGGCUGUUAGUGCUCUGGAUCCAGGAUUCCAGCGGGGACAUUGUGAUGACUCAGACUCCAGAAUCUCUGGCAGUGUCUCCUGGAGACACAGUCACUAUCCGCUGCAAAGCCAGUUCAAGCCUCACCAGUGGUAGCUAUCACUACUUAGCCUGGUACCAACAGAAAUCAGGACAAGCUCCAAAGCUCCUUAUCUAUCUUGCUUCUACCUUGCAAUCUGGGAUCCCGGCCCAGUUCAGCGGCAGUGGAUCCGGCACCAAUUACACACUCACAAUCAACAGAGUUGAAGCUGAAGAUGCUGCAGAUUAUUAUUGUCAACAGCAUUAUGAUCCCCCGUUCACUUUUGGGAAGGGGACCAAGUUGGAGAUAAAACGUAGAGAAAAUGCCAAGCCUUCGGUGUUCAUCUUUCAUCCAUCAGCCGACCAGCUGUCUGGGGGAUCUGCCACUGUGGUGUGCCUAGUGAGUGGCUUCUACCCGAGCGCCUUGAAUGUGGUCUGGAAAAUGGAUGAUGCCACUACCACGACUGGCGUCGUCACCAGCCAGAAGCAGCAAGAUACUUCUGACAGCACGUACAGCCUGAGCAGCACCCUGACGCUCACGAAAGAGGCGUACAACGAACACAACCGCUAUAGCUGCGAGGUGACGCAUGAAACGCUGCAGGGCCCUCUUGUCAAAAGUUUCAAGAGAUUGGAGUGUUCGCAGUAGGAGGCUCCCAGGGAAAGAUCCAUGCCUCCUCUUUGCAGCCUUUCUUAUGCUUUGUUUAUGUAACUAUCAGUCUUAUUCAUUUUUUCCCCCUCCCAAAAUAUUAUGACAGAGAUCUUCCAGGUCUCACCUCCUGCCUUACCCCUUGCUAACAGUCCUGGAUAACCAGGCCCUGCCUGAUUUUACCCUGCUGCCUAAUGAGGUUUCCUGCUUUUAUCAAGUUUCAACUUCAAAAAUGAAUAAAUAAAUGAAAUCAAUGAAACAGCA
Dermochelys coriacea (leatherback sea turtle) is the source of this 1023-nucleotide non-coding RNA. Lineage: Eukaryota; Metazoa; Chordata; Testudines; Dermochelyidae. The record is from the annotation of a RefSeq genome assembly.